RNAcentral lists this transfer RNA (72 nucleotides) under Brisinga sp. SS-2022. Its description in RNAcentral is "tRNA-Ser". It matches the Rfam family "tRNA". Rfam says of the family: Transfer RNA (tRNA) molecules are approximately 80 nucleotides in length. Lineage: Eukaryota; Metazoa; Echinodermata; Asteroidea; Brisingida; Brisingidae. The record is from RNAcentral.
AGGAGAAAUGGCAGAUGGGAAUGUGUUUAGUUUGAAACUGAAAGAUAGAGGUUUAAAUCCUUUUUUCUCUUA